CUUUCCGGUCGCGCCGGGUCAGGUGAUGUGGCGGUCACGUGACGCUGGGGCGCGGGGGCGGAGGCCUCCUCGGAUCGGGGCGGGAGCAAGUCGGCCAGCUCCGAGCUGUUGGGGCGGAAUACCGGGUCCCUUUCUCAGUCCCCAGAACCUUUCCCUGGAAAGGGCCAGCGCCAACCCCCAGGUUAACUGAGAACAGAACCAAAGCAGUAGGAAGAGAUCAUCAUGGGAGUCCGGUCCAGCCUCUGGCCAGGAUGUGAUUUUUUUGGCUUCUAAUGCCCAGGCCGUCACCUUUCUCUCUUGCCUGCCACACUCGUGCAGCCCCACAGCGGAGGCUUCAGAAAACAUUGGGCUUUGGGGACUUCCCUGGUGGCGAAGUGGUUAAGAAUCCGCCUGCCAGUGCAGGGAACACAGGUUCGAGCCCUGGUCCGGGAAGAUCCCACAUGCCGCGGAGCAACUAAGCCCAUGCGCCACAACUACUGAGCCUGCGCUCUAGAGCCCGUGAGCCACAACUACUGAAGCCCACGCGCCUGGAGCCCAUGCUCUGCAACAAGAGAAGCCACCCAAUGAGAAGCCCGUGCACCGCAACGAAGAGUAGCCCCCGCUCACCGCAACUAGAGAAAGCCUGCACGCAGCAACGAAGACCCGAUGCAGCCAAAAAUAAAUAAAUAAAUUUUUAAAAGCCAACAAACAUUGGGCUUUGUACCCGCUACUCCUCACACUAGGUUCCCUGUCCAGGAGGCUGCUGAAAGGG
Globicephala melas (long-finned pilot whale) is the source of this 751-nucleotide long non-coding RNA. RefSeq lists it as uncharacterized. NCBI's taxonomy places the organism in Eukaryota, Metazoa, Chordata, Mammalia, Artiodactyla, Delphinidae. The record is from RefSeq and is a predicted model, not a curated record.